UACAGAGGUGGCAAGCGUUGUUCGGAAUUACUGGGCGUAAAGGGCGCGUAGGCGGUCCGAUAAGUCCCGUGUGAAAGCCCCCGGCUCAACUGGGGAACUGCACGGGAAACUGACGGACUUGAGUUCGGGAGAGGGAAGCGGAAUUCCGGGUGUAGCGGUGAAAUGCGUAGAUAUCAGGAGGAAUACCGAUGGCGAAGGCAGCCCCCUGGGUCGAUACUGACGCUCAUGCACGAAAGCGUGGGGAGCAAACAGG
This 253-nucleotide ribosomal RNA is filed under the name uncultured bacterium. RNAcentral describes it as "partial 16S ribosomal RNA". It matches the Rfam family "Bacterial small subunit ribosomal RNA", at positions 524 to 776 of the family's 1533-position model. The record is from RNAcentral.